GUCAGUGUUGAGGCUGCAUCGGGCUUUCGCUCUACACAACAAAGGGCAAACCGCCUUGCGUCAACACGGACUUCAGGGUGAAACUCGUCCUUGAGCGUCCUCCGGUUUGCUUGUUGUCCAGAAAAGCUGAAAAGACUCGCGCAGCCCAGCCAGGGGACGCCUAAUUGUCGAUGGAAAUUAGACAACACUCGCAGACUCGUCCUCUGAAGGUGGAGCCUACAGUGUUUCAGGACCCCAUCCUGCUGGACCUGCUGGUGCAGAUGCUGAAGGAGACCCAGGAGAGCGAGGACAUGAACGUGGACAUGCUGAAGUACACUCAGAAAGAUCUGGACACUGUGCUGGAAAUGACCCGAAAACAGGCGGAGGAGAGAGAGGUGGCUCUGAAGUACACUCAGAAAGAUCUGGACACUGUGCUGGAAAUGACCCGAAAACAGGCGGAGGAGAGAGAGGUGGCUCUGAAGGUGCUGCAUGCUGAGAGAAAGGCGACUCUGGACACUCUGCAAGCUGAGAACCAUAGUCUCAGGCUGCAACUUCACAGUCUGCGCACUGAGGGACAGGCAACUCUGCACGCUCUGCGCGCUGAGAUCAAUAGGCUCAGGCGGGAUCUUCAGCACAUAAUGUAGUGUACACUAGCUGUAAACACCUGUUUAUCUGUGUUUAUUUACAGUCACAGUGUUUAACCUCAUGCUUCCUACUGUUGGAAAUAAAAUAUACAUGAAAUAAAA
Long non-coding RNA from Ictalurus punctatus (channel catfish), 725 nucleotides. Lineage: Eukaryota; Metazoa; Chordata; Actinopteri; Siluriformes; Ictaluridae. The record is from Ensembl.